Molecule: ribosomal RNA, 426 nt
Filed under: uncultured bacterium
Lineage: Bacteria
Description: partial 16S ribosomal RNA
Rfam family: Bacterial small subunit ribosomal RNA
Source: RNAcentral
GUGAGGAAUUUUCCGCAAUGGGCGAAAGCCUGACGGAGCAAUGCCGCGUGAAGGAUGAAGGCCUAUGGGUUGUAAACUUCUUUUCUCAGAAAAGAAUUAUGACGGUAUCCGAGGAAUAAGCAUCGGCUAACUCUGUGCCAGCAGCCGCGGUAAGACAGAGGAUGCAAGCGUUAUCCGGAAUGAUUGGGCGUAAAGCGUCUGUAGGUUGUUUAAAAAGUAUUCUGUCAAAGAUUAGGGCUUAACCCUAGAUAGGCAGAAUAAACUUUUAAGCUAGAGUUUGGUAGAGGCAGAGGGAAUUCCCGGUGGAGCGGUGAAAUGCGUAGAUAUCGGGAGGAACACCAAAGGCGAAGGCACUCUGCUGGGCCAAUACUAACACUGAGAGACGAAAGCGAGGGGAGCAAAUGGGAUUAGAAACCCGAGUAGUCC